RNAcentral lists this long non-coding RNA (6678 nucleotides) under Homo sapiens (human). RNAcentral describes it as "non-protein coding lnc-GRK3-10:1". Lineage: Eukaryota; Metazoa; Chordata; Mammalia; Primates; Hominidae. The record is from RNAcentral.
CAGAUGCUCCCUAAUUGUCUCUUGUAUUUGUAGCAGGAUGAGCAGCAAACAAAACUCCUCAGACACCGAGUUAAAGAAGGAAGGGGUUUAUUCAGCCGGGGGCAUCGGCAAGACUCCCGUCUCAAGAGCCGAGCUCCCCGAGUGAGCAAUUCCUGUGCCUUCAACUCUAAGUGGGUGCGUGUGAGAGGGUCGUGAUUGAUUGAGCAAGCUGGGGGUAAGUGACUGGGAGCUGCACGCACUGCUAAGUAGAUCGGAACAAAACAGGAUAGGGAUUUCACAAUGCUUUUCUAUACAAUGUUUGUAAUCUCUAGAUAACAUAACCGAUUAGGUCAGGGGUCGAUCUUUAACUACCAGGCCCAGGGUGUGGCGCUGGGCUGUCGGCUUGUGGAUUUCAUUUCUGCCUUUUAGUUUUUACUUUUUCUUUCUUUGGUCGCAGAAACUAGGUAUAAGACAAUAUGAGAGGUGGUCUCCUCCCUUAUAUUGACAGUAAAACCCCAAGGGCAGGAAUACUCUUAUUUCUCAACACCAUUUCAACAACCAAACUAAAACCUCUCACCUGAGUGUAAGGGAGUGGUGACCUUCUUAAGCCGGGAGCUCUUCCAUCAGGGGGUUCCCUAAGGGCAUCUCUGUUCCUAGCGGGGGAGCCGUCACCCCACUUUGCUCUGCUUAGCCUGAGACACGCAAUUUUCUCCAGCUUUUACUCUUCGCUGAAUUCUCAAGGCGGGGUUGGGGGGAUGUUCAGGCUCAGGAAGGAGGUUGGGGGCCCGGCCGCUGGACGCUGUUCACCGGUAGCCCGGACCAGAGCAGGAGUUUCAUCACCACCUGCGGGGACAGGUGGGACACAUGCAUUUCCGGGGCCAUCCUAGACCUCCUGGAGGAUGCUGAUUGACACUGUCCAGUUUGAGAACUACUGUGUCCCCGGAGCAGAGGCCUCCCCAUUGCCCUUGGGUAGCGGGCGUCGGGCACAGGGCUUCUCCGGAUGAGCGGGGCGGGCAUGAGAGCACAUGGAACUGGGGGCGGGAGGUCGGGGCAGCCAAGGAGGAGAAGGAGGAGGCGGAGGGGGAGGGAGGGGAGGAAGAAGAGGAGGAGGAGUCCUUUGUGGCCACCCGGAGGGGAGAGACUUGGUUGGGAGGCGCCAACCGAGCUGGCCGCUGGGACUCUGCACCCAGGUGCGCCAACCCUUGGGCGCACGCUCCCCGCAGACCCUCGCUGAAGGAGCGGUGGGCGGCGCGCCGCGACCCUGGCGGGCUACAGAUUACACCGCUUGCAGGGCGCUGCUGGGGCGCGCAGAGCGGGGCUGCCCCAGGGUGGCUCCCCCAGGUUGGGGCGCGGCGGGCGGCGGCCGCGGGCGCGCGUCCCAUCCGGGUCCCGAGUAACCGCCACCGCCGCUGCCAAAGCUCGCCAACAUGGUGGACCUGGAGGCCGUGGUGGCCGAUGUCAGUUACCUGAUGGCCAUGGAGAAGAGCAAGGCGACCCCGGCCGACCACGCCUGCAAGAGGACCGUCCUGCCCGAACCCACGUACCACCUGCCCCGGCCCGCGCCGGUCCCCGACGCCGCCGCCCCCUGCGGCCGCCAGCGACCCCCUGCGUCCGGGAGAAUCGGGAGCUGAGCCGUCGCUGUCCCGGAGCGGGUGACACAGCGGAGCGGGCGAUGCGGGGCCGGCCUCCUGGCUCCAGUCUCUGAAAUGGGGCAUCGGAGGGCGGGUGGGGGGCACUCCGGGAGAGAGCGCUCCAAAGUGCCUGGCGCCGCGCCCUGCGCGCAGCUAGCACCCCAGCAAGGGGCUGGUUAUGACUUGGCUGGACCAGUUCCAUCCCUGUCGCCCCCUCCCCCAGCCCUGUCCUCUCCUGUCCCAUCCCCGUGGUUCUACCUGUUGCAUUGGUGUGGUCCCUUUGGGCUCCUUGCCUGUCACUCGUUUGCGCUCCAUCCUGGUCGCUCCUUCUUCCCGGGCUCUGUGGUUCCCCUUUCCAACUCCAUCCUUUCAGCUCCCUCUGGGCCGAUUAUCUGGGGACUGCAGGCUUGUUGCUUACUGUCCGAGGUAGUUAAACUGCUCUUUUCAGUGCUUGCUCUUCUUGAAGUCCCUAAGUCUAGUCACCUUCUUCGUCUCCUCUUCUAUUGUCUGCCCAGGCAGGAUUUCGACCCACUCAGUAUUCUUUUUGGUGCCAAGUGUGUCACCUGAGCUGCUUUCCUCAACUUGCAGAUCUACUGGUAGUACUUUAUUAAAAAAUUGAAAUGGGAUUCAUUUAAAAAGGCACUUGAAUGGAUGAUUCCAGACAGGAAUUUGUUGUUAAAUUAUCAAAGGAGGGCCUGAUUGAAUUGGCGAGGGGCUCGGUGAGGUCCAUACCAAGUUGCAAUUUUCCCUCAAAUGAUUUAUUAUUAAGGAACUAGUAAAAUUUUUUGCCAGCUCAUGUCAUUAGCACUUCCCCGGAAAAAAAUAGUUCAUCAGGUUAAUAGUGAGUUUUAAAUAAUGUAUCAAGGCUUCAGCGAUGGAUUUUUUUUUCUCUAGCUCCUUUCCUAAUUAACACCAUCAUGAGUUGUACAGCUAAUGAGGUUCCUUAAUGCUAAAUAGCUCUUUGAAUUGAUGCUCAAAAGAGGCAUUUUCUUUAUGGUGAAUUUGAAACCAUGCAAUUCUAUAAAAUGUUGGAAUUUAAACCAAAGUUAUUGUCCAUUUGAAAUCAUCAGUCCUUCAAGUGUUAGGCGCCCAAAAUUGCUUAAAUGUUACCUAAUGCUAAGUGAUCAUAAUGUGAUUUUUUUACAAGUCCAUCUAUGAGCCCUAUGAUACAGAAAAUACCAGUCCCCUUGUUAUUUCUUGUGAAAAAGCUAAAUUGUGCAAAUGAAGACAUGCUUGCUAGAUAUUUUGGGCUUGCUUCUCCCUCCUUAGCCCAUGCCUCUUGUUGGUUUUGCAGGAUGUGCUACUCUUUGAUAGACAAUGCCAAGUAGUGAAAAUAAGGAAAAAGUGCAAACCCUUCUGCAAUGUCGUGAGUUUAACACCCCUAUGCCAGAGUGUAGCAUAUCAGAAGCUAAUUGAAAAAAUCAAUGCUGCUUAAAAUUUCUGGCAAAUGGGAAACUUACUUAGAGAACAAGAACUCCUAUAUCAAACCUAAAUUUCACCAAAAAAACUGAAUAUUUCUAUAAAGGUGGUAGAAAAUUCCUUUUUCUCUUGCCUUUCCUAGUGUCCCUCCGCCACCCAAGGUCAGGGAGUCCUGAAUAUGUAGGGUUUCUAGAUAUAAAAUUGAUAAAUCUCAACUCAUGGGCAGUUUUUUUGGGGGGGGGUAGUAUAUAAUAUUACUAAAGUUAGGAACUUCUGUUCAGUUUUUAUUUUUUUUCUUGGGGUUUCCUUUUUUAGUGUCCCUCUUAAGAACAUACUUAUGUGCUUAGGAUGUUCACUUCCUUGUAUGAAUGCCUUUGUUUUUCAGUGGUAUUCUUUGUUAAUGCUUUAAGGCAGAGUAAGUGACAGCCAGCAUAUUUCUCGUGACAUUUGAAAACUGAGAAAUACCAACCAGAGAGUAAUUUUAGGAAACAGCCCUUCAGUAAUUGUUAUUCUGUUGCUCUUUUUAAAAUAGACUCUCCAAUUGGGCCAUUGGAACCUCCUCCUGAGAUUCCAAUUUGUUUCCUUUUUUCUUUUCUUUUUUUUUUUUUUUUUUUUGAGAUGGAGUCUAGCUCUGUCGCCCAGGCUGGAGUGCAGUGGCACAAUCUUGGCUGACUGCAACCUCUGCCUCCCAGGUUCAUGUGAUUCUCCUGCCUCAGCCUCCUGAGUAGCUGGGACCACAGGCGCCUGCCACCACACUUGGCUAAUUUUUUUCGCAUUUUUAGUAGAGAUGGGCUUUCACCAUGGUGGUCAGGCUGGUCUCGAACUCCUGACCUCAUGAUCCGCCCACCUUGGCCUCCCAAAGUGAAGGGAUUACAGGCCUUAGCCACCGCACCCCGGCCUGUUUUCUACUUAUCUUAGUGGCUUUGGCUUUAGUUUUAUAAUGUAGCCAUUUACAUAGUAACAGUCACUCCUUGUGCUGUGUUAGGAUUCUGUUACAUUGAGAUUAUCAGGUAAAACAUCUUGCAAAAUUCUCUCUACCACGGGAUGGCAGUCAGUAGCCUACCUGUUUGAUUUGGAGGUUGGGGGUUGGGGAAUUUCUAGAUCCUGUAAGAAAGUUAAUUGCGUGUUAAAAGUCUCAGCCUAAUGACUUAAAUGGCUGGUAUGACUUCACGCUGUUGGUAAAAGGGAUUCGGGUCAAGUGUUUUUUGACAAGAGUUUCUAUAUCAGCUUCAUUAUAGAGGAAGCCAUGUGACCGCCAGUUUUUGGUAUUCUUGAAAGAGAUGUUCAGAUUUGUAUUUUUAGUAUCUGAAUGAGAAGCAUACAUUUUAAUUUGCCUUUGGUCUAUCACUAGUGAUUUUUUUAUUUCCAGCUAAUUAUUUGAAGUCACUAUUCUUGGUGCUUCCUUAUUUUAGUUACUUUGCCUUUUCCACAAUUUUAAAACAGAAGAGCAUCAGAACGAAAUAUCUAGCUAAUUUAAAUGAAACAAUGGGUCUGCAGUUUCCUGCCUAUUACAGGAGAGUCUCAGAAAAUGGAACAUUCUGUCUAGGGGAGAUUUUGCUUCCCUGAGAUGGCAAGAGGCACACAUUUUGUUAUGUUGACACAUUAUUCAAUUAACCAAUGAGUGCAAAUCCUGGAAAAGCUGACUAUUUGUCCAAAUGGUAUAGCUGCUUUAGUUUACUGAAAUGUUGUUGAGCUAAUGUAGCUGAUAAUGGGGCCUACUGGGAGUAGUAAACUGUGACCCACAGACUCCCUUGCAGGCCCAGUUAAAACAGGAGCAUUUAGAUGUGCAGGCCAGUUGUUUUACAUCAUGUUGGAAAAGAAAUACUUUUUUUUUUUUUUUGAGAUGGAGUCUUGCUCUGUCACCCCGGCUGGAGUGCAGUGGCGUGACCUGGGCUCACUGCAAGCUCUGCCUCCCAGGUUGAUGCCAUUCUCCUGCCUCAGCCUCUCGAGUAGCUGGGACUACAGGCACCGCCACCAUGCCUGGCUAAUUUUUUUUUGUAUUUUGUUUUUUUUUUUAGUAGAGACGGGGUUUCACUGUGUUAGCCAGGAUGGUCUCCAUCUCCUGACCUCAUGAUCCACCCACCUCGGCCUCCCAAAGUGCUGGGAUUACAGGCAUGAGCCACCGCGCCUGGCCAAGAAAUACUUUUAUUUAAGUAAGGUCUAAUUCACAAGCAAAGUCCCACAAAGGGUCAACAUCUUAAGCCCUCAAGUGAUUCAGACGACUUUUACUGUAGGCGGUAUUACUUUGUUACUCUUUUUAAAAACAGAAUGAAAUUCAGAUGACUUGAAAUCACACAUAGUUGAAAGAGGUUGAGUAAUGUGAACUUCAUCUUUCCCCUGGAGUCUCAUUUCUAUUUACUGGACAUUUCAAAUGUUGGAUCACCUAUUGCAAAGCUUGUCCUUUCAAAGUAUUCAUAAAUAUGAUAGGAAGGUCUGAAACAACAUUUUAAAGAUUCUUUAUAAUUUUCUAGGAACACUGACAGUCCUUAAAGGACAUUUAUGAUACCAUUUAUGACAUUAAUUCAGUACAUAGUUGCAGAGCCAUUUCUAUGAGCCAGGCAUGGGGUACUAUGACAAACCCAGCCACGGCCCCUUCCUUCAUGGAGCUUAUAGACUAGUGUGAAACAUACAGAGUUGAGUCAAGAAGGAUGUUUGCUUUAAAGUGUAAUUGCUUGAAGAUUUUAUUUAACCACAAACAAAUAGUGUAUGGAUAACUUUUAUUAUUCUAUACGCAUAGAAUAUAGAAUAAUAACAAAGAAUGAAUAUAGAAUAUAGGAUAAUGCAUAGAACACAUGAUGUUUAGUGUUUUACAAUAAUUUGUUAGUGAGUACCUUUGAAGAACUAUCUAAACAUAGUCUCCAUAGUGAUAUGGUAGUUUGCAUCUUUCUGUUUGUGUAGCCACCACAAGUGGCCUUGUUUUCUUCUUUAGUGGACAUGGAAUUUAUUUAGUAAUUUUCUAGCUUCAAUCAGUAAGUGAUUGGUGGAUAACUUGAAAUUUUCUGCUCCAUUUAGGCUGUAGAGUUUUCUGUGUCUUCACUGUCCUGUGCUCAUAGCCCAAUUUUGAACUGAAAAGUCCAUGUUGAAAGCACAAAUAGCCUUUAGAAAGAAAGUAUUCCUUAUUAUUGAUAGGAGUAGUUCUAUGUGUAAGAAACGGUAGUGUUCUUGCUUCUUUACAUUAUGGUACAAAUUCAAAACGUAAAUUGUAAUUUGUGAUUUAUUUUGUGUUUAUUACAGUAGAUGGUCAUUUAAUUCAUGUUUAUUACAGUAGAUGGUCAUUUAUUUAGAGUUUAAGAAAACUCCACUAAGAUUUGUAGAUUGCAUGUUAUAGUUUUAUAUACAUUAACUCUUUUUAGUUUUUACAAUUAUGCUUGAUAAUAGGUAGAAAUUUCAAAAAGAAAAAAAUUACUCCAGAUACAUCCAUGUGGAGACAUUGAGAGGUAUAUUUUAUCUGUUUGAGGACAGCUGGUUUUCUCCUUAGAUACUAGUAUCUUGACUGUGGGGCAAGGAGUGGCUUUCAGCCUUCCAGACUCAGAAACUAGAUUUUAUUAUAUCACUGUAUUAAGCAUCUGUCUCUUAUUGUGAAACUCACAUAAUCAGCCAAGUCUGCCUGACUAAAUUAUUCUCUUUCUAUAGGCCUCUGGUUCUUAUU